RNAcentral lists this transfer RNA (85 nucleotides) under Felis catus (domestic cat). It matches the Rfam family "tRNA". Rfam says of the family: Transfer RNA (tRNA) molecules are approximately 80 nucleotides in length. Their secondary structure includes four short double-helical elements and three loops (D, anti-codon, and T loops). Lineage: Eukaryota; Metazoa; Chordata; Mammalia; Carnivora; Felidae. The record is from Rfam by way of RNAcentral.
GCCUGGGUGGCUCAGUCGGUUAAGCGUCUGACUUCGACUCAGGUCAUGAUCUCGCAGUUCGUGGGUUCGAGCCCCGCGUCGGGCU